Molecule: ribosomal RNA, 433 nt
Filed under: uncultured bacterium
Lineage: Bacteria
Description: partial 16S ribosomal RNA
Rfam family: Bacterial small subunit ribosomal RNA
Source: RNAcentral
AACGAACGCUGGCGGCAUGCCUAACACAUGCAAGUCGAACGAGACCUUCGGGUCUAGUGGCGCACGGGUGCGUAACGCGUGGGAACCUGCCCUUAGGUUCGGAAUAACUCCCCGAAAGGGGUGCUAAUACCGGAUAAUGUCUUCGGACCAAAGAUUUAUCGCCUUUGGAUGGGCCCGCGUUGGAUUAGCUAGUUGGUAGGGUAAAAGCCUACCAAGGCGACGAUCCAUAGCUGGUCUGAGAGGAUGAUCAGCCACACUGGGACUGAGACACGGCCCAGACUCCUACGGGAGGAGGCAGGGGGGAAUAUUGGAAAAGGGGCAAAAGCCUGACCAAGCAAGGCCGGGUGAGUGAUGAAGGCCUUAGGGUUGUAAAGCUUUUUUACCCGGGAUGAUAAUGACAGUCCCGGGAAAAUAAGCCCCGGCUAACCCCGUG